Molecule: ribosomal RNA, 253 nt
Filed under: uncultured bacterium
Lineage: Bacteria
Description: partial 16S ribosomal RNA
Rfam family: Bacterial small subunit ribosomal RNA
Source: RNAcentral
GACAGAGGGUGCAAACGUUGUUCGGAAUUACUGGGCGUAAAGCGCGUGUAGGCGGUUUGGUAAGUCGGAUGUGAAAGCCCUGGGCUCAACCCAGGAAGUGCAUUCGAUACUGUCAAGCUAGAGUAUCGGAGAGGUUGGUGGAAUUCUCGGUGUAGAGGUGAAAUUCGUAGAUAUCGUAAGGAAGACCAGUGGCGAAGGCGGGUCUCUGGACAGUUCCUGACGCUGAGGCACGAAGGCCAGGGGAGCAAACGGG